This is a regulatory RNA element of Enterococcus saccharolyticus, 166 nucleotides long. It matches the Rfam family "PyrR binding site". Rfam says of the family: This family represents the PyrR binding site and terminator structure. This RNA structure is found upstream of a variety of genes involved in pyrimidine biosynthesis and transport. The alignment also includes a portion of the antiterminator structure. The record is from Rfam. Lineage: Bacteria; Bacillati; Bacillota; Bacilli; Lactobacillales; Enterococcaceae.
GUAUCCUUUAAGUUAGUCCCGUGAGGCUAAGAAGGAAGUGAGCAAAUAGAAUCGUUAUCUGCGGAUAAACUGAAUGCUAUUUGAAGAGACUAAGUGUGUCUUUUUAUAGGACACGUGUAUAGUUGUACAUUCACUCCUGCCUUACUUGGGCAGGAGUUUUUUUUAU